Molecule: ribosomal RNA, 497 nt
Filed under: uncultured bacterium
Lineage: Bacteria
Description: partial 16S ribosomal RNA
Rfam family: Bacterial small subunit ribosomal RNA
Source: RNAcentral
UAGGUGUUGGNUCCUUUCCGGGACUCAGUGCCGCAGCUAACGCANUAAGCACUCCGCCUGGGGAGUACGACCGCAAGGUUGAAACUCAAAGGAAUUGACGGGGGCCCGCACAAGCGGUGGAGCAUGUGGUUUAAUUCGAAGCAACGCGAAGAACCUUACCAGGUCUUGACAUCCCUCUGACCGCUCUAGAGAUAGAGUUUUCCUUCGGGACAGAGGUGACAGGUGGUGCAUGGUUGUCGUCAGCUCGUGUCGUGAGAUGUUGGGUNNANNNNNNNNNNNNNCGCAACCCCUAUUGUUAGUUGCCAUCAUUCAGUUGGGCACUCUAGCGAGACUGCCGGUAAUAAACNNNNNNAAGGUGGGGAUGACGUCAAAUCAUCAUGCCCCUUAUGACCUGGGCUACACACGUGCUACAAUGGCUGGUACAACGAGUCGCGAGUCGGUGACGGCAAGCUAAUCUCUUAAAGCCAGUCUCAGUUCGGAUUGUAGGCUGCAACUCG